RNAcentral lists this ribosomal RNA (163 nucleotides) under Drosophila willistoni. RNAcentral's name for it is "5.8S ribosomal RNA". The record is from RNAcentral. Lineage: Eukaryota; Metazoa; Arthropoda; Insecta; Diptera; Drosophilidae.
CACUCUUAGCAGUGAAUCACUCGGCUCAUUGGUCGAUGAAGGACUGAGCAAACUGUGAAUCAUCGUGUGAUUAUAUGCAGGAUAUAUGUCCUAGACAAACAGUCUCUGCUGUGAUGGUACUUUAAUUAAUUUUGGAUUGCUGGAUAUUUAUAUAUAAUUUUCU